AACGAACGCUGGCGGCAGGCCUAACACAUGCAAGUCGAACGCCCUAGCAAUAGGGAGUGGCGCACGGGUGCGUAACGCGUGGGAAUAUGCCCUUCACUGCGGAAUAACGUUUGGAAACGAACGCUAAUACCGCAUAAUGACUCCGGUCCAAAGAUUUAUCGGUGAAGGAUUAGCCCGCGUUAGAUUAGCUAGUUGGUGAGGUAAGAGCUCACCAAGGCAACGAUCUAUAGCUGGUCUGAGAGGAUGAUCAGCCACACUGGGACUGGGACACGGCCCGGCCUCGUACGGGAGGCAGCAGUGAGGAAUAUUGGACAGUGGGCGCAAGCCUGAUCCAGCCAUGCCGCGUGAGUGAAGAAGGCCUUCGGGUUGUAAAGCUCUUUCAGUUGUAAAGAUAAUGACGGUAACAACAGAAGAAGUCCCGGCUAAAUUCGUGCCAGCCGCCGCCGUAA
This 449-nucleotide ribosomal RNA is filed under the name uncultured bacterium. Its description in RNAcentral is "partial 16S ribosomal RNA". It matches the Rfam family "Bacterial small subunit ribosomal RNA", at positions 29 to 523 of the family's 1533-position model. The record is from RNAcentral.